Molecule: non-coding RNA, 95 nt
Organism: Jatropha curcas
Lineage: Eukaryota; Viridiplantae; Streptophyta; Magnoliopsida; Malpighiales; Euphorbiaceae
Source: Rfam
GGGCUAUGAUGAAGCUAGUGCUCACUGUGAUUGAUGGGGUCUAUCGCAGCCGUCAGAUCUUCAGCAGCAGCUGAAACCAGAGCACGUUUGAGCUC